CGCGGUUGAUACAUUUGAUGGCGUCAACAAACUGCCUGCUCCAAAUCUUAUACAAUUUUAAGCUUGUAUCAGAUUUGCAAUCUUUUCUCUUGUAUUUUGCUGUGACCUGCCAUAAUAUUUUAUUGCAGAUUGCAGAGCUCUUACUCUGAUUCAGUUUUGUGUUAGCAAGCAGCAUGCCAGGGUGUUUUGCAUCUGGGUGCAGCCACCACAACAGCGCUGCAAGAUGUACAUUUAGGUUUCCAAGAGAUGGAGAGGAGAAGAUGAGGGUCGCUUAGGUGAGGGCUGUCAGACGUGCAGAUGCAGUUCCCAGGAGCACUUCCCAGCUCUGUUCCUGUCAUUUUGAGGAGGGCAGCUGCAUCCCAACACUCUUCCAGUACAACGGGUACCAGAUUGCUCAUUUCCGGUCGCCUGUGCUACACCAAGCUCAGAAAGGGAAAGCGGAUCACACAGCCACCAUCAGCGCGCUAGAACUCCAAGGAGGAUCUGCGAGCGGCGCGCCAGGCGCCGUCGGAGCAGCCCCUGGUAGCGACAGCCGCCGCGCCGUCGGAGCAGUCCCUGGGAGCCACGGCCAGCCGCUGUCGGAGCAGCCUCUGGGAGCCGGCCGGCCGCCGUCGGAGAGGCCUCUGGGAGCUUACCUGUAACUGACUGCGGCUGACGUGUGUGUCCGUGUGCGCGCGUGUGUGUGUGCGUUUCCACUGGCAGUGAUAGUGACAGGUGAACGGUGUUCAUGACCGAUGGCCGGCGGUCUUUGUUGUUAUUCUGAUAGUACGUAUGAGACAUUGUUUUAAUAUGUUUUGUUCUGAAACGUUUCCAAAAACUGAAUCACUUCAUUAUCAUUCUACUUUCAAGCAUGUUUACCAGAUAAAAGGAUUUGCAA
Long non-coding RNA from Amphibalanus amphitrite, 877 nucleotides. RefSeq lists it as uncharacterized. NCBI's taxonomy places the organism in Eukaryota, Metazoa, Arthropoda, Thecostraca, Balanomorpha, Balanidae. The record is from RefSeq and is a predicted model, not a curated record. The transcript is spliced from 3 exons.